CCUACGGGGGGCAGCAGUGGGGAAUAUUGCACAACGGGCGCAAGCCUGAUGCAGCCAUGCCGCGUGUGUGAAGAAGGCCUCCGGGUUGUAAAGCACUUUCAGCGGGGAGGAAGGCGUUAAGGUUAAUAACCUUGGCGAUUGACGUUACCCGCAGAAGAAGCACCGGCUAACUCCGUGCCAGCAGCCGCGGUAAUACGGAGGGUGCAAGCGUUAAUCGGAAUUACUGGGCGUAAAGCGCACGCAGGCGGUCUGUCAAGUCGGAUGUGAAAUCCCCGGGCUCAACCUGGGAACUGCAUUCGAAACUGGCAGGCUAGAGUCUUGUAGAGGGGGGUAGAAUUCCAGGUGUAGCGGUGAAAUGCGUAGAGAUCUGGAGGAAUACCGGUGGCGAAGGCGGCCCCCUGGACAAAGACUGACGCUCAGGUGCGAAAGCGUGGGGAGCAAACAGGAUUAGAUACCUGGUAGUC
This 464-nucleotide ribosomal RNA is filed under the name uncultured Klebsiella sp. Its description in RNAcentral is "bacterial SSU rRNA". It matches the Rfam family "Bacterial small subunit ribosomal RNA", at positions 338 to 795 of the family's 1533-position model. Lineage: Bacteria; Pseudomonadati; Pseudomonadota; Gammaproteobacteria; Enterobacterales; Enterobacteriaceae. The record is from RNAcentral.